ACAAUUACAACGAGUUCUACCGAGACCAAUCGCCAUAGUAGGCCUGAACACUCACCUGUGACGUUAUAACCUAGAGUCAAUGAAGACUAAUAGCUCAUUGCCACGUUGCAGGUCUGACAUACUCAUAAGUGACAUGGCAACGAGCUGUUGGUCUCCACGGACCACAGGUCACGUCACAGGUCAGUAGUCAGGCCUUUGACGAUUUUGAGAGCAUAUGCUCUCACGUAAUACACCUUUUUUUGUUGUUGUUUCUACUCAGAGACUCGGAGAUGACUUCUUUAUCAUAGUGAGACCACUCAUUUACUAUGUCUUGAAAAGGGUUGCACAAUUUAAUUUAGGGGAGGUAAUCCCCUAAAAAAUUAUUUUU
This is a non-coding RNA of Biomphalaria pfeifferi, 367 nucleotides long. The record is from the annotation of a GenBank genome assembly. Lineage: Eukaryota; Metazoa; Mollusca; Gastropoda; Planorbidae.